Molecule: long non-coding RNA, 1323 nt
Filed under: Ananas comosus (pineapple)
Lineage: Eukaryota; Viridiplantae; Streptophyta; Magnoliopsida; Poales; Bromeliaceae
Description: long non-coding RNA (ACOM_LNC026177)
Source: RNAcentral
UUGGGAAAUAUGAAUGAGGAUCAAAUAAAUUAUGAUCUUGAGGUGUGUAGAUUUACUUUCUUUAGGGCGUGUUUGGUUUGGACUAUUCUGCCAGGAUUAUAGGCAGUCCUACUCGGAUUACUACGUUUGGUUCAUCCAGUCUGUAAUGUAAUCGGUAAUAUAGCAUUAUAAAUGGAGCAGGAUUUACUCCAAAAAUAUUAUCGAGCAGGGUGCGGAUAACACAUAUUACUCAUGGCAGGUUAUCUUGCAUGUUAUUUAAAAUUACAAAUUUAACACUCCAACAUCUCGCGCUAUCAAUAUGUCGUUUUUAAAUUUUUACUUAAAAUUUUCAAUUAUCAAAUUUUUAAUUUUAAUUUUAAUUUUUCAAAUUUUUAUUUUUUAUUUUCAAAUUUUAAAUUUUAAACUUUUUAAUUUAUAAAUUUCAAAUAUAAAAUUUUAAAUUCUAAAUUUCAAUUUUAAAAUUUAAAUCGUAAAAUUUCAAUUUUCAAUUUUUAAUUUCUAAUUUUCAAUUUUCAAUUUUCAAUUUUAAAAUUUUCACAUUUUAAAUUUUAAAUUUAAAUUUCAAAUUUCAAAUAUCAAAUUUAAAACUUAAAUUUUCAAUAAUAAAAUUUUAAAAUUUUAAAAUAAUAAAAUUUUAAAUUUUAAAAUUUAAAACUUAAAUUUUAAAUUUUAAAAUUUUAAAUUUUUAAAAUACUAAAAUUUUAAAUUUUAAAAUUUAAAAUUUGAAUUUGAAAUUUAGAUUUUAGAAUUUUAAAUUUUAAAUGUCAAAUUUAUAUUUUAAAUUCUAAAUUUUAAAUUUAAAUUUUAAAUUUAAAUUUUAAAUUUUAAAUUUAUAUUUAUAUUUUUAAUUUAUUUUUUAAUUUUUAAAUUUAUAAAUUUUAUAUUUAUAUUUUUAAAUUAAAAUAUUAAAUUUUAUAUUUUUGUCUAGAUUUAAAAUUUAAAAUUCAAAUUCAAAUUCAAAUUUUAAAUUAUUUAAAAUAAAAUUUUGUAAAAAAAUUUUUACUUGUAAACAGUAAAAAUUUUUGCCACAUUAGACUAAAGGGCAAUUGUCACGCCCCAGAUUACAUGGUUUUCCGGGCACGCCAACAGACCUGCCAUAUACAAUGAAAUUUUCUUCUGUAUACGAAGCGAAGCUAUACUAAAUUAUAAUCAAACAACACUACAACCAGUAGUAUAGAGCUGCUAAAAAAAUAAACAGGUAAAACUGAAAGCAAGUUUCAUAUACAUACAUAAUAUUUAGAUACAAAAGUACUCGCUCCAGCGAAUUAUAAUAUCUGUAUGUACAUGAACUCAAAAAUAAAAGAACCACUACCUGCUAAAGAU